GUCCUCGAUCUGCUGCGGGCAGAUGUAGUGGAUGUGGCUGUCGAACCCGCCUGCGGUCAGAAUGCGGCCUUCGCCGGCAAUCGCCUCGGUUCCCGGUCCGACGAUGAUGUUCACCCCCGGCUGGGUGUCGGGGUUGCCCGCCUUGCCGAUCCGGUAGAUGCGCCCGUCGCGCAGACCCACAUCGGCCUUGUAGAUGCCGCUAUGGUCCACGAUCAGCGCGUUGGUGAUCACGGUGUCCACAGCGCCGUCGGCCCGCGUUGCCUGAGACUGGCCCAUCCCGUCGCGGAU
This 288-nucleotide small RNA is filed under the name Marivita geojedonensis. RNAcentral describes it as "5' ureB small RNA". It matches the Rfam family "5' ureB small RNA". Lineage: Bacteria; Pseudomonadati; Pseudomonadota; Alphaproteobacteria; Rhodobacterales; Roseobacteraceae. The record is from Rfam by way of RNAcentral.